CCCAGCAACUUGCACUGCCUGAACUGUGAUUUCUGCAUGGGCCCAGCCUGCCCUUGCAAGAAAGUUGGGUGGAUCAGGACCUUGGGUGCCCACAGCUUUGUGAGUUCUUUGUUCUGCAGCAGGGACUAGAAAACGAGACAGGUGACAAGUGAUGGGACAUGAAGUAACAGCAUCAAAUUGCACCAUGAGGAGUUUAGAUUGGAUAUUGGGAAGAAUUUCUUCAAGGAAAGGAUGGUUAGGCUGGAAUGGUCUACCUACUGAAGUGAUGGAGACCCUUUCCCGGAAGAGAGGAGAAAAGCCUGGAUGCCUGGAGUCUCAGUGAUGCAGAAAAUUUGGAUGGAACCUCACUGGAAGAGCAUCCUGAAGUUAUGAAAAAGCAAAUCUAAACCUUUAAGAACAUUUCUACAAAUCAGGUUCUUCAGAAAAGAAAUUGUUA
Molecule: long non-coding RNA, 436 nt
Organism: Lagopus leucura (white-tailed ptarmigan)
Lineage: Eukaryota; Metazoa; Chordata; Aves; Galliformes; Phasianidae
Exons: 3
Source: RefSeq, a predicted model, not a curated record